This is a long non-coding RNA of Camellia sinensis, 381 nucleotides long. RefSeq lists it as uncharacterized. The record is from RefSeq and is a predicted model, not a curated record. Lineage: Eukaryota; Viridiplantae; Streptophyta; Magnoliopsida; Ericales; Theaceae.
AUCUUUUUAAAUUCAUAUUGUCUGAUAAGGGUUUGAGGGUACGUGUUUUCCUGGUCCGGGACAUAAUUAAAGCAAUUGAUACUUUUCUUCAGGAUGAAGUAGUAGCAAACAUUUUCGAUGAGAAGGUUCAAGCUAGAGAGAGCUGAAUCUGAGGGACAUGCAAUGCUGAUGAGAGUGGUUAAUGGGCUUAAAUCUUUCCGGCAUGCAGUGAAGUUGGCCCCGGAGGUGUGGACUGCUAUGCUAAUCCGCAUGACAGUGAAACCCGAGGCUCACAAAUUUACAUUUGACAUCAUUUCAGCCUUAUUGAUACAUUUUAGCCGAAAAAUUCCAGAGACCUUUUGGAUUUGUAUAUCUAGAAUUCUUCACAAGUUGGUGAAAAAU